This 769-nucleotide ribosomal RNA is filed under the name uncultured bacterium. RNAcentral's name for it is "bacterial SSU rRNA". It matches the Rfam family "Bacterial small subunit ribosomal RNA", at positions 102 to 857 of the family's 1533-position model. The record is from RNAcentral.
ACGGGUGAGUAACACGUGGGUAACCUGCCCAUCAGAAGGGGAUAACACUUGGAAACAGGUGCUAAUACCGUAUAACACUAUUUUCCGCAUGGAAGAAAGUUGAAAGGCGCUUUUGCGUCACUGAUGGAUGGACCCGCGGUGCAUUAGCUAGUUGGUGAGGUAACGGCUCACCAAGGCCACGAUGCAUAGCCGACCUGAGAGGGUGAUCGGCCACACUGGGACUGAGACACGGCCCAGACUCCUACGGGAGGCAGCAGUAGGGAAUCUUCGGCAAUGGACGAAAGUCUGACCGAGCAACGCCGCGUGAGUGAAGAAGGUUUUCGGAUCGUAAAACUCUGUUGUUAGAGAAGAACAAGGAUGAGAGUAAAAUGUUCAUCCCUUGACGGUAUCUAACCAGAAAGCCACGGCUAACUACGUGCCAGCAGCCGCGGUAAUACGUAGGUGGCAAGCGUUGUCCGGAUUUAUUGGGCGUAAAGCGAGCGCAGGCGGUUUCUUAAGUCUGAUGUGAAAGCCCCCGGCUCAACCGGGGAGGGUCAUUGGAAACUGGGAGACUUGAGUGCAGAAGAGGAGAGUGGAAUUCCAUGUGUAGCGGUGAAAUGCGUAGAUAUAUGGAGGAACACCAGUGGUGAAGGCGGCUCUCUGGUCUGUAACUGACGCUGAGGCUCGAAAGCGUGGGGAGCGAACAGGAUUAGAUACCCUGGUAGUCCACGCCGUAAACGAUGAGUGCUAAGUGUUGGAGGGUUUCCGCCCUUCAGUGCUGCAGCAAACG